Molecule: long non-coding RNA, 883 nt
Filed under: Amborella trichopoda
Lineage: Eukaryota; Viridiplantae; Streptophyta; Magnoliopsida; Amborellales; Amborellaceae
Description: long non-coding RNA (ATRI_LNC003708)
Source: RNAcentral
GAUUGAAUUUUUUGUAAUCCAUGAUCGAAUUGUUUUUUUCUGUUCUUGUAAUCCACGAUCGAAUUUUUUGUUUUUUUAUGUUUUUUUUUUUUGUAAUCCAUGAUCGAAUUUUAUGUAAUCCAUGAUCGAAUUUUUUGUAAUCCAUGAUCGAAUUUUUUGUAAUCCAUGAUCGAAUUUUUUGUAAUCCAUGAUUGAAUUUUUUGAAAAUUUGUAUUUUUUUUUUUAAUCCAUGAUCGAAUUUUUUUUGUAAUCCAUGAUCGAAUUUUUAGAAAAUUUGUGAUUUUUUUUUUAAAUCCAUGAUCGAACUUUUUGAAAAUUUGUUAAUUUUUUUUUUUAAUCCAUGAUCGAAUUUUUUGAAAAUUUGCUGUACUUUUUUUUUUUAUUUCUUUUUAUCCAUGAUCGAAUUUUUUGAAAAAUGACGAUUUUCUGAAAAGAUGUGAAAAUCGUGAUAAAUUGUAUGUUGAUGGAUUAUUUAUGCAAAAAAAUGCAUGUUAUUAUAUUUUUAAUACAAAACUGUAUUUUUUUUAUCUGUUGUUCAUGGAUUUUUUAGUUGGAAUGACUGAUGUUAGCCGGCUCUUUGAAGAAUUGUUUUUAUUAUUAAAUUUUUAAUGUAAAAAAUGUAUGUUCUUGAUAAUUGAGUUGUAGCCAUGUUUGGAGCUUGCAUUUUGUAUUAUUCUAAAUGUUUGUAAUUGAUAUGUACGAAAAUAUUAUUGUCAAAAAAGGUAUUUUGCAAUAACAAAUAACAACGAAUAUGACUACAUGAACUACCGCAACAUAUUAUCACUACAUAUGGUGAUUAUUUUUCUUUUUGAACUGUCAGGUUAAUUUAAACUUUUUACAUCUUAAAACAGUUGAAUCAUGUCAAGAUCUACAGAAGACCCUG